RNAcentral lists this ribosomal RNA (615 nucleotides) under leaf litter basidiomycete sp. 1/1-34.2. Its description in RNAcentral is "LSU rRNA". It matches the Rfam family "Eukaryotic large subunit ribosomal RNA", at positions 56 to 664 of the family's 3401-position model. Lineage: Eukaryota; Fungi; Basidiomycota. The record is from RNAcentral.
CCACCAAACUAACAAGGAUUCCCCUAGUAACUGCGAGUGAAGCGGGAAAAGCUCAAAUUUAAAAUCUGGCGGUUCUUGUAGCCGUCCGAGUUGUAAUUUAGAGAAGUGUUAUCCGCGCUGGACCGUGUACAAGUCUCCUGGAAUGGAGCGUCAUAGAGGGUGAGAAUCCCGUCUUUGACACGGACUGCCAGGGCAUUGUGAUGCGCUCUCAAAGAGUCGAGUUGUUUGGGAAUGCAGCUCAAAAUGGGUGGUAAAUUCCAUCUAAAGCUAAAUAUUGAGGAGAGACCGAUAGCGAACAAGUACCGUGAGGGAAAGAUGAAAAGAACUUUGGAAAGAGAGUUAAACAGUACGUGAAAUUGCUGAAAGGGAAACGCUUGAAGUCAGUCGCGUUGUUCAGGACUCAGCCUUGCUUUGCUUGGUGUACUUCCUGUUCGACGGGUCAGCAUCAAUUUUGGUCGGUGGAUAAAGGCUUAGAGAAUGUGGCAUCUUCGGGUGUUGGCUUGGGUCGCAUACAUCGGCUGGGAUUGAACUCAGCAGCGCAAGGCCGGGUACUUGUACCACGUACGUGCUUAGGAUGCUGGCAUAAUGGCUUUAAUCGACCCGUCUUGAACACGG